Long non-coding RNA from Carica papaya (papaya), 1266 nucleotides. RefSeq lists it as uncharacterized. NCBI's taxonomy places the organism in Eukaryota, Viridiplantae, Streptophyta, Magnoliopsida, Brassicales, Caricaceae. The record is from RefSeq and is a predicted model, not a curated record.
AUCAUCUGUGCCUCUUUUCCUCCCAGCGCCUCUUCUUGUAAGCAGUGAUGAUCUAAUCCAAUACUAUGAGGUGCGGUGGAUUCAAGGACCUGUAAUACAGGAGAACCCCCUUGGCAGAAGCUGCAACUCGUUGAUAUCAAUGGAUUUAACUGAGGCUAGAACUUCAUUUCAAUAUAGGCUUUUCAAUUGAGUAUUUUUAGUAAUUUAUUAAUACUUGCUCUUGUCUUCCAUGUGACUCAUACAUUGAGUUUUAACUAUACUCGUGCACCCUCUGGUGCAAGAGGCUGAAAAACUCAUAUAUCUCGUGUUGUCAUCAGCUUCUUCUCUAUAUUAUUACAAGAGAUUGGAGUUAAAUAACAGCACAACAUCUGAAGACCCCUGUUUUUGGCCGAAUGGAAAUUAUGAUGGGAGGAUUCCCCGAUGGAAAUUAAGUGCUGGUUUUACUUAAAAAAAUCAAUUUUUUUUAUUAAUUUAAUCUAUUCCAUAACUGGAACAACAAUUUUGAAACAGAAGAGAGAUUUCAAGAAAUGGUAGAUCUAUGAACUGUCAAUAAUUGAACCGGAUUUGGUGUAUGGUGAGGGAUUUGCUUUAUGGAUUAGAUCAAAAACAAAUCUUGAAUGAGGUUUUGAACUUCAGUGAUGAAUUAAAAAAGUAAUCUCUAGUGGUUCCACUAUUCUUCAUAAAUAAAGAUGAAUCUUUUUAUUUUAGGAUUACAAAAAAGGGUAGGUUUAAAAUUUAAUUGUCUGGUAUAGUCAUUGUUUGUGAUGAUGCCCAUGACGAUUUAACUGAAAAUAGUUUUGAGUUGCAGUUAAGCGAAGCCCUGUUGUACAGGGAGAACCUACUUGGUGUAAGCUGCAAUUCGCUGAUAGAAGUGGAUUUCCCUGAGGCAAGAUGUUAUGUGCUUGAGUUAGCUUAGGAAGUUUUGAUUGUUUAAACUACUCUUUGCCCGAUCUAUUUGGGUCGAAGAGACUAAGAAACUCAGAUAGUUACUGUUGUCUAUCAGCUUCAUCUCUUGAUGUUGGCACAAGAUUGGAUUUAAAUAGCAGCACUACAUUUCGCCAGUACUGAUUUACAUUCUGUAUGCAUUUGUUCAAUUCUAGUAAGAUCAAGUUUUGAUAUAGAUGAUGGAUUUAGUGUUGAUCAACAAAUGCAAACGGCAACUUGUUAUUUUAUCUUUAGAUGAGAUGCCCUUAAUUGUUAAGAGAAAAGAACUGAAGCUUGUUGUUGUUGGCCGAUUGACUGAAUAAAUUGGAGUUGAAAUGCGGA